RNAcentral lists this ribosomal RNA (423 nucleotides) under uncultured Lachnospiraceae bacterium. RNAcentral describes it as "bacterial SSU rRNA". It matches the Rfam family "Bacterial small subunit ribosomal RNA", at positions 355 to 794 of the family's 1533-position model. The record is from RNAcentral. Lineage: Bacteria; Bacillati; Bacillota; Clostridia; Lachnospirales; Lachnospiraceae.
UAGGGAAUAUUGCACAAUGGGGGGAAACCCUGAUGCAGCGACGCCGCGUGAAGGAAGAAGUAUCUCGGUAUGUAAACUUCUAUCAGCAGGGAAGAAAAUGACGGUACCUGACUAAGAAGCCCCGGCUAACUACGUGCCAGCAGCCGCGGUAAUACGUAGGGGGCAAGCGUUAUCCGGAUUUACUGGGUGUAAAGGGAGCGUAGACGGAGCUGCAAGUCUGAUGUGAAAGGCUGGGGCUUAACCCCAGGACUGCAUUGGAAACUGUAGAUCUUGAGUGCCGGAGAGGUAAGCGGAAUUCCUAGUGUAGCGGUGAAAUGCGUAGAUAUUAGGAGGAACACCAGUGGCGAAGGCGGCUUACUGGACGGUAACUGACGUUGAGGCUCGAAAGCGUGGGGAGCAAACAGGAUUAGAUACCCUGGUAGU